UUGUUCUGAUGGCCUUCGAGUGACUACAUAGCAGUGAAAGGGACGGUGGCAUGAAGCAGUUGAGUAGGGUAAGAUGAUUCAACAUGGAGUACAACUGUUGUUGAAUAUGACUUGUGUACUUGCUGGACAAUAGUGUAUGAACUUUUCCGAUGGAUAUAGC
This is a long non-coding RNA of Triticum dicoccoides, 160 nucleotides long. RefSeq lists it as uncharacterized. NCBI's taxonomy places the organism in Eukaryota, Viridiplantae, Streptophyta, Magnoliopsida, Poales, Poaceae. The transcript is spliced from 3 exons. The record is from RefSeq and is a predicted model, not a curated record.